RNAcentral lists this microRNA precursor (195 nucleotides) under Oryza brachyantha (malo sina). RNAcentral's name for it is "MIR812 microRNA precursor family". It matches the Rfam family "MIR812 microRNA precursor family". Lineage: Eukaryota; Viridiplantae; Streptophyta; Magnoliopsida; Poales; Poaceae. The record is from Rfam by way of RNAcentral.
AAUAAACCAAUUUUUUACUUUUUACCUAUAAUUUUUGACCAUUUGUCUUAUUCAAAAAUUUUUUGCGAUCAAUAUUUUUAUUUUUAUUAGAUGAUAAAUCAUGAAUAGUACUUUACAUGUGACUAAUUUUUUUCUAAUUUCUUAAAAAAUUUUCAAAUAAAAUGAAUGGUAAAACGUUGGACACGGAAACCGGAG